RNAcentral lists this ribosomal RNA (492 nucleotides) under uncultured bacterium. RNAcentral's name for it is "bacterial SSU rRNA". It matches the Rfam family "Bacterial small subunit ribosomal RNA", at positions 1 to 507 of the family's 1533-position model. The record is from RNAcentral.
AGUGACACGAGUUGAUCAUGGCUCAGAACGAACGUUGGCGGCGUGGAUUAGGCAUGCAAGUCGAACGAAUCCCUAGGGGCUUGCUCUUAGGGGGAAGUGGCGAAAGGGGCAGUAAGGCGUGGGUAACCUACCCCGGGACGGGCAUAGCCGUCCUAACGGACGGGUAAUUCCUGGCGAUCUGGCGAGGGGGCAUCCUCUUGCCAGGAGAUGAAUUUCGCCUCGGGAGGGGCUCACGUAGUAUUAGCUUGUUGGUGAGGUAACGGCUCACCAAGGCGAAGAUGCUUAGCGGGUGUGAGAGCACGACCCGCGCCACUGGCACUGAGAUACGGUCCAGACUCCUACGGGAGGCAGCAGUGGGGAAUAUUGGGCAAUGGGCGAAAGCCUGACCCAGCGACGCCGCGUGAGGGAAGAAGAUCUUCGGAUUGUAAACCUUAGUCAACAGGGAAGAAGAAAGUGACGGUACCUGUGGAGGAAGCCACGGCUAACUACGUG